NUCCUGGUGUCUAUGGCGGUAUGGAACCACUCUGACCCCAUCCCGAACUCAGUUGUGAAACAUACCUGCGGCAACGAUAGCUCCCGGGUAGCCGGUCGCUAAAAUAGCUCGACGCCAGGUC
This 121-nucleotide ribosomal RNA is filed under the name Synechococcus elongatus PCC 6301. Lineage: Bacteria; Bacillati; Cyanobacteriota; Cyanophyceae; Synechococcales; Synechococcaceae. The record is from RNAcentral.